UACGUAGGGGGCAAGCGUUGUCCGGAAUCAUUGGGCGUAAAGCGUGCGCAGGCGGUUAUAUAAGACAGAUGUGAAAUCCCCGGGCUCAACCUGGGACCUGCAUUUGUGACUGUAUAGCUAGAGUACGGUAGAGGGGGAUGGAAUUCCGCGUGUAGCAGUGAAAUGCGUAGAUAUGCGGAGGAACACCGAUGGCGAAGGCAAUCCCCUGGACCUGUACUGACGCUCAUGCACGAAAGCGUGGGGAGCAAACAGGAUUAGAUACCCUGGUAGUCCACGCCCUAAACGAUGUCAACUGGUUGUUGGGUCUUCACUGACUCAGUAACGAAGCUAACGCGUGAAGUUGACCGCCUGGGGAGUACGGCCGCAAGGUUG
RNAcentral lists this ribosomal RNA (372 nucleotides) under uncultured prokaryote. RNAcentral describes it as "bacterial SSU rRNA". It matches the Rfam family "Bacterial small subunit ribosomal RNA", at positions 524 to 896 of the family's 1533-position model. The record is from RNAcentral.